CGCCUGCCAACGGGGACCCCUUCAAAACGCUUUGUAAUACCUGUCAUUGUCUGAUAUAACAAGCAAAAAUCAAAACUUUCAACAACGGAUCUCUUGGUUCUGGCAUCGAUGAAGAACGCAGCGAAAUGCGAUAAGUAGUGUGAAUUGCAGAAUUCAGUGAAUCAUCGAAUCUUUGAACGCACAUUGCGCCCUUUGGUAUUCCUUAGGGCAUGCCUGUUCGAGCGUCAUUUAAACCUUCAAGCUCAGCUUGGUGAUGGGUGACUGUCCCCUCCCUUCGCGGGGGGACUCGCCUCAAAAACAUUGGCGGCCGGUACAUUGGCUUCGAGCGCAGCAGAAACGCGGUCUCGAGCCCGGUGGAUCGGCUCCCAUAAGCCUCAUUCUUUAUUUUGACCUCGGAUCAGGUAGGGAUACCCGCUGAACUU
Molecule: ribosomal RNA, 422 nt
Filed under: Preussia sp. 'pseudominima'
Lineage: Eukaryota; Fungi; Ascomycota; Dothideomycetes; Pleosporales; Sporormiaceae
Description: eukaryotic LSU rRNA
Rfam family: 5.8S ribosomal RNA (bases 74-227)
Source: RNAcentral